This 429-nucleotide ribosomal RNA is filed under the name Gemmatimonadota bacterium. Its description in RNAcentral is "Gemmatimonadetes bacterium partial 16S ribosomal RNA". It matches the Rfam family "Bacterial small subunit ribosomal RNA", at positions 355 to 776 of the family's 1533-position model. Lineage: Bacteria; Pseudomonadati; Gemmatimonadota. The record is from RNAcentral.
UAGGGAAUCUUCGGCAAUGGACGAAAGUCUGACCGAGCAACGCCGCGCGAGUGAAGAAGGUUUUCGGAUCUUAAAACUCUGUUGUUAGAGAAGAACAAGGACGUUAGUAACUGAACGUCCCCUGACGGUAUCUAACCAGAAAGCCACGGCUAACUACGUGCCAGCAGCCGCGGUAAUACGUAGGUGGCAAGCGUUGUCCGGAUUUAUUGGGCGUAAAGCGAGCGCAGGCGGUUUCUUAAGUCUGAUGUGAAAGCCCCCGGCUCAACCGGGGAGGGUCAUUGGAAACUGGGAGACUUGAGUGCAGAAGAGGAGAGUGGAAUUCCAUGUGUAGCGGUGAAAUGCGUAGAUAUAUGGAGGAACACCAGUGGCGAAGGCGGCUCUCUGGUCUGUAACUGACGCUGAGGCUCGAAAGCGUGGGGAGCAAACAGG